GAUGAGUAGAGCAUCGAUUAAAGUAGAACAGAAAGUAGUAAAAGGGGAGUGGAAAAAUCUUCUGCUAAGAUCUAAGCAUAUGCUGGCAUGCACUCAUUAAAUAUAGCUGUUAGAGUUGCUGCCUGAGGUCAAUGUACUUGGCUUGGUUGCACUUUGCUGUUGAUUCUUUCCUCUGCUUUUAUCAAAUCUACUUCCCAUCUCAGUUUUUGUCCCUCAAAACAUAGUAUAGACCUCCAUUGAUCAUCACAAUCCCCAUAGAAUAGAAAGAAAAAGUGACACAGAUAUAAUAGAAGGUUGGAGAUAUGGC
This 307-nucleotide long non-coding RNA is filed under the name Elaeis guineensis (African oil palm). RNAcentral describes it as "long non-coding RNA (EGUI_LNC039512)". The record is from RNAcentral. Lineage: Eukaryota; Viridiplantae; Streptophyta; Magnoliopsida; Arecales; Arecaceae.